AGUCGAGCGGAUUGAUGGGAAGCUUUGCUCCCUGAAUCAGCGGCGGACGGGUGAGUAACACGUGGGUAACCUGCCUGUAAGAGUGGGAGAACUCCGGGAAACCGGGGCUAAUACCGGAUAGUUCUUUUCCUCGCAUGAGGAAAAGUGGAAAGGCGGCUUCGGCUGCCACUUACAGAUGGACCCGCGGCGCAUUAGCUAGUUGGUGAGGUAACGGCUCACCAAGGCAACGAUGCGUAGCCGACCUGAGAGGGUGAUCGGCCACACUGGGACUGAGACACGGCCCAGACUCCUACGGGAGGCAGCAGUAGGGAAUCUUCCGCAAUGGACGAAAGUCUGACGGAGCAACGCCGCGUGAGUGAUGAAGGUUUUCGGAUCGUAAAGCUCUGUUGUUAGGGAAGAAAAAGUGCCGUUCGAAUAGGGCGGCACCUUGACGGUACCUAACCAGAAAGCCACGGCUAACUACGUGCCAGCAGCCGCGGUAAUACGUAGGUGGCAAGCGUUGUCCGGAAUUAUUGGGCGUAAAGCGCGCGCAGGCGGUCUCUUAAGUCUGAUGUGAAAGCCCACGGCUCACCGUGGAGGGUCAUUGGAAACUGGGGGACUUGAGUACAGAAGAGGAAGU
This 619-nucleotide ribosomal RNA is filed under the name Bacillus sp. (in: firmicutes). Its description in RNAcentral is "bacterial SSU rRNA". It matches the Rfam family "Bacterial small subunit ribosomal RNA", at positions 60 to 661 of the family's 1533-position model. The record is from RNAcentral. Lineage: Bacteria; Bacillati; Bacillota; Bacilli; Caryophanales; Bacillaceae.